This 432-nucleotide ribosomal RNA is filed under the name uncultured bacterium. RNAcentral's name for it is "partial 16S ribosomal RNA". It matches the Rfam family "Bacterial small subunit ribosomal RNA", at positions 29 to 506 of the family's 1533-position model. The record is from RNAcentral.
AACGAACGCUGGCAGCAUGCCUAACACAUGCAAGUCGAACGAGACCUUCGGGUCUAGUGGCGCACGGGUGCGUAACGCGUGGGAACCUGCCCUUAGGUUCGGAAUAACUCCCCGAAAGGGGUGCUAAUACCGGAUAAUGUCUUCGGACCAAAGAUUUAUCGCCUUUGGAUGGGCCCGCGUUGGAUUAGCUAGUUGGUAGGGUAAAAGCCUACCAAGGCGACGAUCCAUAGCUGGUCUGAGAGGAUGAUCAGCCACACUGGGACUGAGACACGGCCCAGACCCCUAGGGGGGGGAGCGGGGGGGAAGAUGGGAAAGUGGGCGAAGGCCGAAACAAGAAAAGCCGGGGAAGGGAUAAAGGCCUUAGGGUUGUAAACCUCUUUUACCCGGAGAGAUAAAAGAAGACCCGGGAGAAUAAGCCCCGGCUAACUCCGG